CAGUAGCCACGGGAACACAGAGGGUGCGAGCGUUAAUCGGAUUUACUGGGCGUAAAGCGUGCGUAGGCGGCUUUUUAAGUCGGAUGUGAAAUCCCUGAGCUUAACUUAGGAAUUGCAUUCGAUACUGGGAAGCUAGAGUAUGGGAGAGGAUGGUAGAAUUCCAGGUGUAGCGGUGAAAUGCGUAGAGAUCUGGAGGAAUACCGAUGGCGAAGGCAGCCAUCUGGCCUAAUACUGACGCUGAGGUACGAAAGCAUGGGGAGCAAACAGGAUUAGAUACCCCUGUAGUCCCUGUCUCUUAUAA
RNAcentral lists this ribosomal RNA (301 nucleotides) under uncultured bacterium. Its description in RNAcentral is "partial 16S ribosomal RNA". It matches the Rfam family "Bacterial small subunit ribosomal RNA", at positions 509 to 809 of the family's 1533-position model. The record is from RNAcentral.